This is a long non-coding RNA of Maniola jurtina (meadow brown), 151 nucleotides long. RefSeq lists it as uncharacterized. Lineage: Eukaryota; Metazoa; Arthropoda; Insecta; Lepidoptera; Nymphalidae. The transcript is spliced from 3 exons. The record is from RefSeq and is a predicted model, not a curated record.
GGUAGGUCUUAUAGCUUUUUUCCUUAGUUUACUUGAAAGGGAAACAAGUAGCUUCUUGCUGAAAUGCAUAGAGGCGCAGUAUACGUGGCCCAUACGAACUGACAAUGAAAUGAUACGAGUGAAACCCAAGUGCAGAAGGUCUAAAGGGCCA